CUCGUAGGCGGCCUCUUAAGUCGGACGUGAAAUCCCCGGCUCAACCUGGGAACUGCGUCUGAUACUGGGGGGCUGGAAUGCGGGAGAGGGAUGCGGAAUUCCAGGUGUAGCGGUGAAAUGCGUAGAUAUCUGGAGGAACACCGGUGGCGAAGGCGGCAUCCUGGACCGUGAUUGACGCUGAGGAGCGAAAGCCAGGGGAGCAAACG
RNAcentral lists this ribosomal RNA (206 nucleotides) under uncultured bacterium. RNAcentral describes it as "partial 16S ribosomal RNA". It matches the Rfam family "Bacterial small subunit ribosomal RNA", at positions 568 to 774 of the family's 1533-position model. The record is from RNAcentral.